This 407-nucleotide ribosomal RNA is filed under the name uncultured Lysinimonas sp. Its description in RNAcentral is "bacterial SSU rRNA". It matches the Rfam family "Bacterial small subunit ribosomal RNA", at positions 355 to 774 of the family's 1533-position model. Lineage: Bacteria; Bacillati; Actinomycetota; Actinomycetes; Micrococcales; Microbacteriaceae. The record is from RNAcentral.
UGGGGAAUAUUGCACAAUGGGCGCAAGCCUGAUGCAGCAACGCCGCGUGAGGGACGACGGCCUUCGGGUUGUAAACCUCUUUUAGCAGGGAAGAAGCGAAAGUGACGGUACCUGCAGAAAAAGCACCGGCUAACUACGUGCCAGCAGCCGCGGUAAUACGUAGGGUGCAAGCGUUAUCCGGAAUUAUUGGGCGUAAAGAGCUCGUAGGCGGUUUGUCGCGUCUGCUGUGAAAACUGGAGGCUCAACCUCCAGCCUGCAGUGGGUACGGGCAGACUAGAGUGCGGUAGGGGAGAUUGGAAUUCCUGGUGUAGCGGUGGAAUGCGCAGAUAUCAGGAGGAACACCAAUGGCGAAGGCAGAUCUCUGGGCCGUAACUGACGCUGAGGAGCGAAAGCAUGGGGAGCGAACA